GAUCAUUACAGAGUUACAAACUCCAAACCUUUGUGAACAUACCUACGUUGCUUCGGCGGCCUCGCCCCGGGCGUCGCGGUGCCCUCACGGGAGCCGCGGCGGCCGGACCCAGGCGACCGCCGGGGGACCCAAACUCUUGUUUUUUCAGUGUAUUCUGAGUGGCAUAAGCAAAUAAUCAAAACUUUCAGCAACGGAUCUCUUGGUUCUGGCAUCGAUGAAGAACGCAGCGAAAUGCGAUAAGUAAUGUGAAUUGCAGAAUUCAGUGAAUCAUCGAAUCUUUGAACGCACAUUGCGCCCGCCAGUACUCUGGCGGGCAUGCCUGUCCGAGCGUCAUUUCAACCCUCAGCACCCGCCUUCGCGGCGGGAGCUGGCGUUGGGGAUCGGCCGCCCUCAGCGGCGGCCGGCCCCGAAACGAAGUGGCGGCCGCGUCGCGACCUCCUCUGCGCAGUAGCGAUACCUCGCAGCCUGGAUAGCGGUGCGGCCACGCCGUAAAACCCCAACUUUACCAAGGUUGACCUCGGAUCAGG
This 527-nucleotide unclassified non-coding RNA is filed under the name Geosmithia sp. 23 MK-2020. RNAcentral describes it as "sequence contains 18S rRNA gene, ITS1, 5.8S rRNA gene, ITS2, 28S rRNA gene". The stretch from base 180 to 333 matches the Rfam family "5.8S ribosomal RNA". Lineage: Eukaryota; Fungi; Ascomycota; Sordariomycetes; Hypocreales; Bionectriaceae. The record is from RNAcentral.